CGAAAGCCUGACGGAGCAAGACCGCGUGAGGGAGGAAGGCUCUUGGGUUGUAAACCUCUUUUCUCAGGGAAGAAGCUCUGACGGUACCUGAGGAAUCAGCAUCGGCUAACUCCGUGCCAGCAGCCGCGGUAAGACGGAGGAUGCAAGCGUUAUCCGGAAUUAUUGGGCGUAAAGCGUCCGCAGGUGGUGAGUCAAGUCUGCUGUCAAAGCCAGGAGCUCAACUCCUGUCCGGCAGUGGAAACUGAAUGGCUAGAGUGCCGUAGGGGUAGAGGGAAUUCCCGGUGUAGCGGUGAAAUGCGUAGAGAUUGGGAAGAACACCGGUGGCGAAAGCGCUCUACUGGACCACACCUGACACUCAGAGGACGAAAGCUAGGGGAGCG
Molecule: ribosomal RNA, 380 nt
Filed under: uncultured cyanobacterium
Lineage: Bacteria; Bacillati; Cyanobacteriota
Description: bacterial SSU rRNA
Rfam family: Bacterial small subunit ribosomal RNA
Source: RNAcentral